GAUGAACGCUGGCGGCGUGCCUAAUACAUGCAAGUCGAGCGAACAGACGAGGAGCUUGCUCCUCUGACGUUAGCGGCGGACGGGUGAGUAACACGUGGAUAACCUACCUAUAAGACUGGGAUAACUUCGGGAAACCGGAGCUAAUACCGGAUAAUAUAUUGAACCGCAUGGUUCAAUAGUGAAAGACGGUUUUGCUGUCACUUAUAGAUGGAUCCGCGCCGCAUUAGCUAGUUGGUAAGGUAACGGCUUACCAAGGCAACGAUGCGUAGCCGACCUGAGAGGGUGAUCGGCCACACUGGAACUGAGACACGGUCCAGACUCCUACGGGACGCAGCAGUAGGGAAUCUUCCGCAAUGGGCGAAAGCUUGACGGAGCAACGCCGCGUGAGUGAUGAAGGUCUUCGGAUCGUAAAACUCUGUUAUUAGGGAAGAACAAAUGUGUAAGUAACUAUGCACGUCUUGACGGUACCUAAUCAGAAAGCCACGGCUAACUACGUG
RNAcentral lists this ribosomal RNA (497 nucleotides) under uncultured bacterium. Its description in RNAcentral is "partial 16S ribosomal RNA". It matches the Rfam family "Bacterial small subunit ribosomal RNA", at positions 28 to 507 of the family's 1533-position model. The record is from RNAcentral.